ACGUGAUCUGAGUUCAGACCGGAGUAAUCCAGGUCAGUUUCUAUCUAUAAAGGGCUUUUUCUAGUACGAAAGGACCGAAAAAGCAUGGCCAAUACUUAAUGCAAGCCAUCUAAUAAUUUAUGAUUAAAACUUAAUUAAUAUUUCAUCUUCAACCUGUCUCAAGAAAAGAGA
Molecule: ribosomal RNA, 171 nt
Filed under: Scinax berthae (dwarf snouted treefrog)
Lineage: Eukaryota; Metazoa; Chordata; Amphibia; Anura; Hylidae
Description: partial 16S large subunit ribosomal RNA
Source: RNAcentral